GGGGGCGUUCUGGUUUCGACGGGACGUUUGACGCGCUGGUUGCACGUGGAGGUUGAUCGGUUGGCCUCUUGAAAAGCCGAUCAAAACAAACAAAUGCAGACUCCAACGAGCUCGCAUUGGCUGCUUAAUUGACAGCCACGUCCGACCCCCGAUGUCUGCUGAGGGGAAGGGCGAAACCUAGCAGGCUGGGUUGAGGGUCGGGUAACCGGGCUCGCUUCCGAGAUCAAACAGGUUUCUAGGAGACACAACGCUGCCGAUGGGCCUAGUUCUCUGAAACUCCAGACCGUCGGCUAAACGUGUAGAUGCCAGGGCUGAAGGCGUUUCGGACAG
Molecule: transfer-messenger RNA, 330 nt
Filed under: Verrucomicrobiales bacterium VVV1
Lineage: Bacteria; Pseudomonadati; Verrucomicrobiota; Verrucomicrobiia; Verrucomicrobiales
Rfam family: transfer-messenger RNA
About the family: Bacterial tmRNA, also known as 10Sa RNA or SsrA, is named for its dual tRNA and mRNA-like properties.
Source: Rfam by way of RNAcentral